GACGAACGCUGGCGGCGUGCCUAAUACAUGCAAGUCGAGCGGACCAAAGGGAGCUUGCUCCUGGAGGUUAGCGGCGAACGGGUGAGUAACACGUGGGCAACCUGCCUGUAAGACUGGGAUAACAUCGAGAAAUCGGUGCUAAUACCGGAUAAUAAAAAGAACUGCAUGGUUCUUUUUUGAAAGAUGGUUUCGGCUAUCACUUACAGAUGGGCCCGCGGCGCAUUAGCUAGUUGGUGAGGUAACGGCUCACCAAGGCGACGAUGCGUAGCCGACCUGAGAGGGUGAUCGGCCACACUGGGACUGAGACACGGCCCAGACUCCUACGGGAGGCAGCAGUAGGGAAUCUUCCGCAAUGGACGAAAGUCUGACGGAGCAACGCCGCGUGAGUGAUGAAGGUUUUCGGAUCGUAAAACUCUGUUGUUAGGGAAGAACAAGUGCCGUUCGAAAGGGCGGCACCUUGACGGUACCUAACGAGAAAGCCACGGCUAACUACGUGCCAGCAGCCGCGGU
Molecule: ribosomal RNA, 510 nt
Filed under: uncultured bacterium
Lineage: Bacteria
Description: bacterial SSU rRNA
Rfam family: Bacterial small subunit ribosomal RNA
Source: RNAcentral